CCAUUUCCAUGUGGGUCAAGCUGAAUGGCGAUGGUUACAUUCAAACACCAAAAUACCAAAGGAUAAAAAGCAAGAGUUAAUGCUAAUGUUCAAGAAGGUCAUGUACACAACUGAACACGAAGAGUUAACUGAAGCUGUCAACAACAUUCAAUCAUUGCAUGGAAACUACCCUGAAUUUGUCAGUCGUUUUGACAAAUUUUACGUUCGAUGUGAAGGAUGGACACUGUUUGCAAGAAAAGGAAAAUUGACUCAAAAUAACAACACAAAUCACUUUGCCGAGACAACAGUUUAAGCGAGGACAUCCCUAAUAACAGCGACGGCUCUUCCAUCUCAUCCAGUAACCGCAAUCGAAUAAAUAUAAACCAAAGUCAAAUUUUGGAGUGUGGAGAAAAAAUGGCAAAACCGAGUGAAGUUUCAUCUGAAUAUUAUGAACAAAUUUGUAGUGAGGUUGUAAAAUUCAUACCAUUUCUACACAUACAAAUAGUUAAUCAUGU
This is a long non-coding RNA of Anthonomus grandis grandis, 494 nucleotides long. RefSeq lists it as uncharacterized. The transcript has 3 exons. The record is from RefSeq and is a predicted model, not a curated record. NCBI's taxonomy places the organism in Eukaryota, Metazoa, Arthropoda, Insecta, Coleoptera, Curculionidae.